CUGACGAGUUUGAUCAUGGCUCAGAGUGAACGCUGGCGGCGUGCUUAACACAUGCAAGUCGAACGGACUUAAGGGGCUUGCUUCUUAAGUUAGUGGCGCACGGGUGAGUAAUAUAUAGCUAACCUGCCCUUUAGUGGGGGACAACAGUUGGAAACGGCUGCUAAUACCCCAUACUCCUUCUGAUCUUAAGGUCAGUUGGGAAAGAUUUAUCGCUAAAGGAUGGGGCUUUAUUGUAUCAGUUAGUUGGUGGGGUAAUGGCCUACCAAGACAAUGACGCAUACCUGGUCUGAGAGGAUGAUCAGGCACACUGGAACUGAGACACGGUCCAGACUCCUACGGGAGGCAGCAGUGGGGAAUAUUGCACAAUGGAGGAAACUCUGAUGCAGCAACGCCGCGUGGAGGAUGACGCAUUUCGGUGUGUAAACNCCUUUUAUAAGGGAAGAUAAUGACGGUACCUUAUGAAUAAGCACCGGCUAACUCCGUG
RNAcentral lists this ribosomal RNA (484 nucleotides) under uncultured bacterium. RNAcentral's name for it is "bacterial SSU rRNA". It matches the Rfam family "Bacterial small subunit ribosomal RNA", at positions 1 to 507 of the family's 1533-position model. The record is from RNAcentral.